AUUUAGAAUCGUCCAUCUUUCACUUUCAUCUAAACUCGGCUCUGAAGCAGAAGUUAGUUCCCGUGUUCUAGUGAUUUUUUUCUUUUCCAAUUAAGUUACGUUGUUACGAUCCAGAUUUAUCCACGAGGAGCGAAAACUCUGCUUCGUGCGUGUUCGCCCCACUUAUAAAAAGCGUCCGAUAGACGCUUUUUCGUGGGAGCUAGAAGCUCUGAUUCAGAAAUCCCCCAUUGUUCUGCACGCUGUGCACCGUUGGUCCGUGCCGGUCCGCCAUUACGGUAGUUAAACGGGAGUAGAGGUUUUUCCGACCUGCUGAGAUUCCGAAAGGAGGAGACAGUAGAGUUUCGGACCACGAGCCGACGCCCUAUCCCGCAACUUUAGUUCGACCCUCGACGCACGUAGACCCGGCCUAGCUACGCUACUGCUGAGCCAACCCGAGCACCCCUCAUCUGGUGACUCCGUCGGCCGUCGAACAUCGCAUGCAUCCGGCGUAUCCCUCGGCGACAAGUAACGUAACGCCUCGAGCUCCAGUAGCAUAAACCCUGCGCAGGUAUGUCGACAUACAUGGCCAUGUUACACACCACAACACACACACUGUACAUAUCACCCACCCGCAUGAAUCUUUCCGUAAAUAGAAAAUGAAUACAUAGAUGAAUUCAAGUUAA
Molecule: long non-coding RNA, 662 nt
Organism: Aedes aegypti (yellow fever mosquito)
Lineage: Eukaryota; Metazoa; Arthropoda; Insecta; Diptera; Culicidae
Exons: 3
Source: RefSeq, a predicted model, not a curated record